This 8013-nucleotide long non-coding RNA is filed under the name Triticum aestivum (bread wheat). Its description in RNAcentral is "long non-coding RNA (TAES_LNC027039)". Lineage: Eukaryota; Viridiplantae; Streptophyta; Magnoliopsida; Poales; Poaceae. The record is from RNAcentral.
UUGCGUAUGUUAGCCACCAUAUCAUGCUUAGUCGCUGCUGCAACCUCACCACUUUACCCCUUCCUUUCCCAUUAAGCUUUGCUAGUCUUGAUACCCAUGGUAAUGGGAUUGCUGAGUCCUCGUGGCUCACAGAUACUUCCAAAACCAGUUUGCAGGUGCCUAUGUUACCGAGCAGGUGACGCAACCAAGCUCAAGGAGGAGCUUGAUGAAGAUCUUGCCCUUUGUGUUGUUUCGUUCUAGUUGAUCAGUAGUGGAGCCCAGUUGGGGUCGAUCGGGGACCUUUGUCGCAUUUGGGGUUCUUCUUUUAUUUUGCUUCCGUAGUCGGACCUUGACUGUAUCUGAAUGAUGGAUGUUUUAUUUAUGUAUUGUGUGAAGUGGCGACUGUAAGCCAACUAUGUAUCUCUUUCCCUUAGGUAUUACAUGGGUUGUGUGAAGAUUACCUCACUUGCGACAUUGCUUUCAAUGCGGUUAUGCCUCUAAGUCGUGCUUUGACACGUGGGAGAUAUAGCCGCAUCGAGGGCGUUACAAGUUGGUAAUCAGAGCCUUCCCCGACCUUAGGAGCCCCAUUGCUUGAUCGUUUUUAGCGGCCGAGUUGUGUCUAGAAAAAUGUUUUGAGUCAUUUAGGAUUAUAUAUAUCGGAGAGUUAGGAAUUCUUUUUACUCCCCAGUCUCUUCAUCGCUCUGGUAAGGCAUCCUGACGUAGAGUUUUGACUCUUCUCUUCUCAAAUUUCACUAAAAAAAUUUUAGGAUCACGCGGGUAUCUUGGAAUUGUUCCGAUGGUUUUAUGGUGAGAACAUUGUCUUGGUGCCUCCUGUCAGGGGUUUAGUGGAAGUGUCCCGGGGAGUUGAGCUCUGAGGUGUUGUCGCCAUAAUUUUAUCGUUGCAGUUCUGGAAUACCUGAGUUUAGUACGCCGACAUCGAAAAUCUCUUUUAUGCAGUUCGUUGGUGAGAUAACCUCGACGCCACCCAGUACUGGGGCGAGAGUUCGGGAGUAUCGCCAUAACUUGUAUAACGGAUGCUUUUCGAAGGUUGAGGUAGACGAUUUCCGAAGGUUUCUUGGUUAUGUGUUGAAGGAUGGAUACAGCUGGAUGUAGGAUUUGCUAGUUUUGGGUGAGAUAUUAUGCUUCCCAUGUAUCCCCAACACCUGAUUGCAUAACCGGAAAAUUUCGGGAGUUUCAUAGGUGGGAAUUCAAGUAGCUCUUAGGAUAUCUUUCCGACGGAUGUAUGAUAUGAAAUUGGGGUUCGACGUCUAGUGGUCCGCCUAUUCACGGUUGGUUUUACAGUGGUCUUGUUGUGUCUUAAAGAGUCCUUGGCUAUGCCGACUCGGGGACGCUUCGUAUGUCAUGUGCACUGCCUUGUACAUGAUGAUGCUGUACGAUCGAGCCCGUGUAGGCCCCACCACGAAAACUUCGGACGAAAUCUCUAUCAUAUGUUUGUUCCGGCUUAUUCUACAAGCCAAAUCCUUUGUUUUGUUUUAUUUGUGGUAUUCGAGUUGCUUCCAAGUCAAAUGUUGAAUCCAUACCUUUUCCUAAACGGUGUUCUCAUAUUGCUAUGUGAAUACUAAUCCUUUUGAUCAUCGAGAUUGUCAUGUCAAUUCUUUCCAACCGGUGUGCUUCUCUUCAAGUGAAUCCGAUCAUUUCAACAUUUGUGAGAUCAAUUCUAAGUUUUCUCAACGGUAUCCGUUUCAUCCGUCCCCAAGUUGCCUUUGUUUUCCCGCCCUCCCACCCUUUUUCUUCAAGGACUCAGAUUUCUUAAUCAUGUAUCCUUUUAUUUGUGAGAAGUCUCUUCAUUCUUUUCUUUCAAUGUUCUUAUCCGGUGAUUUCCCAUGAAGAUGCUCAACAGUUUCAAGUUCAUCAUCCUUCGUUCUUUUUUCUUCUCCGGUGGAUCCAAUUCAAGCUUUCAGUGUUGAUCAUAUUCCUUUCUUCGUGUCAAAUGCUUUCUCAUGCCGGUGCACCUCUCAAUCACUCACCUCUUGCUAUUCAUUUAUUCCAGAGUGUUGAAGAUAUCUCAGAAGACUUGUGUUUCCAUUCUCAAUCCGUUCAAGUUAUUUCAAGGUUGUUAUCUCAUUCAAGCCAUUUAAUUUAACCGGUGCAACCUCUCUUUAAAAUCAUUUUCAACGGUGUUUUCUUUUGAGUGGGCCCUAACCCACAGGUCUUUUCCCAGGAUCUUACCUGACUCUUCUAAUUAUUCCGGGGCGAUUCUCAAAUUCAUUUCCAAGUUUGACGUAAGAAUGAAUUUUCAUUAGUCACAUGCCUUAUCCAAGAUCGAUUUCAAAUUCUUUUCAUCUCUGGCUCAACCUUUCCUCUUUUAAUCCUUCCAGAGUUUCUCAACAAUUUGGUGGUGUUUCUCCUCGUCAUUCUCAGCAUGGGAAGACCGAAGAAGAGUUUUCCCUUAAAUCUUUCUCCAUUCUCUUCAAGAUUCAUGGUUCUGGCUUGAUGCCAUCCUCUCAUAAUUGUUUUCGAUUGUGAGAAUUCUUUUCACCCAUUCGGAGCAUCUCAUGAGUUGUUUCCACUUCUUUCCUCCGAAGGUCAUCAUGUCAUAAUUCCUCAUUCUCAGCUUUCAGCUCUCGUUCUCCAAAAUCAUACCGGUGCAUCAUUCAAGUAUUAUCUAAUCAGCUCAGGAUCUCUGCGUUCACUUGGAUCUAAAUCCCCUCAAAUAUCUUCAUUCGUUUUCCAAUUCUUCCCGGUGAAUUGUGCCUUUGCUACAUUCAUUUUCAAUUCUUAUGGUGGUUCGUUCAAGAUUUCAAUUCCUUCGUUAUCAUAUUAAUUCAUUCGUUGUUUCCAAAUUCCAUCGAUGGUUCCAUCAAUACCUUCUCAAGUUUGCGCCAUAUCUAUCUUAAUCCUUUCUAAAAGAAUAAGUAGUGUGCCAAAUCCGUUGCUUGUCAUCAAUUUAAUUUGGUGAAGGAUACACAUAACAUAAUUCUUAUUCUUGUUUCAUCCAAGUGAUUAAUUCCUUCUUCUGAAGUUCGUAAUGGUAUCAAUUUCUCAGUUCUAAGCUGUUCAUCUCUUCUUUCCGGAGUUUGUUCAUCAUAUCACAUUCUCGGUUCAAGAUGCUUCAUCUUUUCUUUCCGGAUUUCAAAGUUUCUCGGUUAUAUCAUCCCGAAGCUUCAUCUUAUCAUUGCAACACUUCACCUUGUGUCUCAACUUCUCUUUCUUUCUAUCAUCCUUUUAUUACCGGAGUUCUUCAUGGAGUUCCUUCGUGGUGGUUCAUCAAGGAUUUAAUUCAUUCUCGAAGUGUUCUCAAGAUUCUUGUUGGAGGAGUUCAAGUAUUCUUCAUCUUGCAUUCCGAAGUGCAAUUCAUUCUACCUUAUCAUUUGAGCUGGUGUUAUGUCACUCUUGACAAUUUCGUUCAUGUUUCAUAAUUCACAUGUUGUCAAGAAUGAGGUAUUUAAACCCAUCAAUCUCUUCAUUGGAUUUAUAUUGGGUUAUAUUUCACCUAAAGCCUUCCCCAAGGAAUGUUGCUAUUUUGUGGUGAUUACGCAUGACCCAAGCUUGCUCUUUAUCCUCUUGGUGGAAGAAGUUUUCAUCUCUUCGUUGAUCUCAAGCAAGCAAUUGUUUUCGUUAGUGGCAGAAUUUCACCUCAAGUGUUGAGAUGUUUUCCAUAAGCCACAACAAGUUUGUGCUUCUCGUUGUUGAUUUUCCAACAACUCCGUUCGAUUCUUCUUUGCAAGGAUGCUUUCCAAGUUCACUUGUGGCAAAAGUUGUCAUUUUCUCCUCCGUCCCUUUAUCCCAACGGUCUAACUUCUAUUCUUUCGUUACGGAGGCAUUGUGAUGUUGUGCUCUUCACCCAUCACCUCGUUUUGUGAGGAUCGUGUUCUUUUCUUGCUUAUCCAUUUAACCGGAGUGUUGUAUCACCUCUUCAAUAUCUUUUCAUCUCAUCAAGUUUUCUUCUCUUUUCUACCGGAGUGCUGUCCAAAUUCUGUCAUUCUUGUUCCUUGGCUAUCUCAUUAUACCGAGGUGGUCAUAUUUUUUUCGUUCGUGAAGCUCUUAUUUCCAUGUCUUUCAACCUUCAAGUUCUCGUAAUGUUCCUUGUUCCUCUUUUCUAACGGAUUGUUCGCAAUCUCGUUCAUCUCUGUUGUACUCUUUCUUUUAAAUUGCUCAACCUCUCAAGGUUCGUGGUUUCACUCAUUUGUCGAAGAAGCAACUUAGUUUUACCUCUUCUCUUCCCUUUCUGUUUUCCCUUCGGUGCCAUCCUAGAUCUCGGGACGAGAUCCUCUCGUAGUGGUGGAGUGUUGUAACGCCCCGGAUACAACUUUCCAUAUUCGUAACUCCAACUCUUGCCUUUUCUGGAGAUGCGAUAUGAUAUUUCCUUCGUGGUUGGGUUUUUGUCUUUUGUUUUGCAUUUGUUCAUGUCUUGCAUCUCAUCUCAUGUCAUCAUUUGCAUUGCAUCGGCACUCGUUGCCAUCUUUGUUUUCAUAAAACUUGCAUGCGUUCGUAGUUGCGUUCCUCGCUUCUCUCCGUUGCCUUCGUUGACCGUUCCGAGACCAAUCGGGUUUUCGCUUCCCUCUUGACCGUGACCACCUAACCUCUCUUGCCAGCCCACAGACCCCUCGCGCGCGUCCGAAAGUUGUCCCGGACCCAACCCGGGUGUUGUUACCGAUGGGCCCGGAUCAUCCCCUAACAUCUACAAAACAUCUCUGUUUUCUCUUUUGGACUUCCUAAGCCUAUUUUUCUCGGACUGUCUGAUUUUGAUCCGAGGGUCGAGAUAGCCCCUAUCCUAAUCCACGUGAUGUAUAUAUAAUUACCCAACCCUAGAUCCUAGGCGCCUUGUCCCAUCCUUCCAUUCCCUCCGCCGCCACCCGACCAAAUCCCUUCGCUCUCGGGAUCCUCCUCUAGCCAACCACGUGCAGCCAUCCCCCUCCUUGCUUUCAUCCUCGAGCCAAUCCCCUCACUCGAUCCAGCAACCGUCCAAGCCUCCACCUUCCCUCGAUCCAAAAUCCCUUCGGGCUUCUCUGCGUCGAUCCCUGAGCUCCAUAGCCACCUCCACACGCCCUCGUCCGCGAGCACCUGAGGCUCCUGCCUCCUCCUCGUCGCCUCGCACCUCACCCCGGCAUUCCCGACCGCUUCGUCCCCGUGCUCGUCCCUCCAACGCCCGACCGAGGAGUUCCCCUCGGCCCCGGUGCCUGCAGCUCCCCCAGUCCUCCCGUCCUCUGCAGCCAUGAACAGCCCCAGGAGCUCCCUCGCAGCAGUCCGGAUCUGGUGCCUCGCCAGAGGACGCCGUCCUCGACCGGAGCCCAUGACCAGGCCGGCCCCGUCGCACCACCUCUCCCUUCCCCUGUUUCCCUCUAUCUCUCUGUCUCUCUUUCUCAUAGUUCCUGUCUCUCGACAGGGAAACCCAUCGCUGCCUCGUCGCCGCAGCAAUAGCAGCAGUUCGCCAAGCCCGACAACCGCUCCUCCUCUGUGCUCCCGUCGUCGCCCCUCGCUGACAGUCCCUCGCCCGUGCCAAGUUUCUAUCGCCGUUGCUCUUUCGCAAGCCGCCGCCGCGCCAAGACCCUGCUCCACAUCGGGCUCGGCUUCCUCGCCGUCUUCAGCGGCGACCAGAGCGCCAAGUCCCUCGCCUCGCCGCCCCUUUGCCCCGCUCACCGGACCUCAGAUCCCAGCCGCCAGCGCCCCUGUUUAGUGUGAACAGAACAAGCGCCUGCAUCGCUCGGUUCAGACGUGCGUUGACCAUGUGCGCACAGCAACCGCCUCGGCUAGGCCCAGUUCGUCCCGGCCGGCCUCUUCUUCAGUCAAGCCCAACCACUCCAACGACCCGGGCCAAGCCCAUGGGUGAGCAGCACCCCUGGCCUUUCCUCUAUUGGGCUAGUCAGAUUCGGCCCGUUCAUGUUUUUUUCCCUUGUCUGCGAUUUUAGCAUUAUCCACAGGAAACCCGUUUUGCAGAAAACCCCCUAGAGUUCAUGCAUUUAAUAACUCACAAAUGGUGCAUCAUAUGUAAAUGAUUUAUAUAUGUAAAGUGCUUAGAAUUUCAUCUAGUUUAAUAACAUCCCAUUUUCAUCCAUGUUUGAAAUGUUUAAAAUGCUAUUUGUUUAAAUUUGCUCAAAUGCCAUGUUAAAAUGAUUUAUUUCAUAACUAAAUAACCGUUGCUCCGUUUUAAAUAAACUUUAUAUGUAAAUGGGGUGGAAAAAUGCCUAGUUUAACAUGGUGCACUUUAUUUUGCUGUUUAACAACUUUAAAAUAUGUUUUAGGGCAGAACAGUACCAAAUUCAAAAUAUGCACAUGGGGAUUUUCCGGAAUUGUUGUUUGUUCUUCCGGCCUCAUUUAAACUUGCCGAAAUAGUUAGUUUACUUUUGUUACACCCCUUGCCAUGUUUAACAACAUUUAACAUUGUUGUGUACCUAAACGGGAGUGAACUAAAUAACUCGAUGUGGUGUUUUGUCAAUAUGCAACUCGUUGCAUAUUGAUCUCCACUUAACUUGUAGUGUGGUUUGUUGCACUUUGCCAUGCCAUGCCUCAUUAAACCGAACAUGCAUCAUACUUGUUUGUGCAUCAUGCCAUGUUUAUGCUUGUGCAUUUACCAUGUUGUUUGUUUCUUUCCGGUGUUGCUUCUUAGUUCCGGUAAUGUUGCGAUUGUGAGGAUUCAUUCGACUACUCCUGUUCGUCUUCUUCAUGGACUUGUUCUUCUUCCUAGCGGGAUUUCAGGCAAGAUGACCGCUACCCUGGAUCUCACUACUAUCAUUGCCAUGCUAGUUGCUUCGUUCUAUCGCUAUGCUGCGCUUCCUAGCACUUGUUCCUUAAGCCUCCCAAAUUGCCAUGAACCUCUAACCUUUGACACCCUUCCUAGCAAACCGUUGUUUGGCUAUGUUACCGCUUUGCUCAGCCCCUCUUAUAGCGUUGUUAGUUGCAGGUGAAGUUGAAGAUAGCUCCAUGGUGGACAGGGUUUAUGUUGGGAUAUCACAAUAUCUCUUAUAUUAUUAAUGCAUCUAUAUACUUGGUAAAGGGUGGAAGGCUCGGCCUUAUGCCUGGUGUUUUGUUCCACUCUUGCCGCCCUAGUUUCCGUCAUACCGGUGUUAUGUUCCCGGAUUUUGCGUUCCUAACGCGGUCGGGUGAUUUAUGGGACCCCCCUGACAGUUCGCUUUGAAUAAAACUUGUCCAGCAAGGCCCAACCUUGGUUUUACCAUUUGCCUCACCUAGCCCUUUUUCCCUUGGGUUUCUGGAGCCCAAGGGUCAUCUUUAUUUAACCCCCCCGGGCCAGUGCUCAUUGUGAGUGUUGGUCCAAAUUGUCAGCCGCCGGUGGCCACCAGGGGCAACUCUGGGCUCGCCUACCGGAAGUUUGGACAAUCCGGUGUGCCCUAAGAACGAGAUAUGUGCAGAUCCUAUCAGGAUUUGUCGGCACAUCCGGGCGGCUUUGCUGGUCUUGUUUUACCAUAGUAGAAAUGUCUUGUAAACCGGGAUUCCGAGUCUGAUCGGGUCUUCCUGGGAGAAGGUCUAUUCCUUCGUUGAUCGCGAGAGCUUGUCAUGGGCUAAGUUGGGACACCCCUGCAGGGUAUAAACUUUCGAGAGCCGUGCCCGCAGUUAUGUGGCAGAUGGGAAUUUGUUAAUGUCCGGUUGUAGAUAACUUGACACCUGAUUCGAACUAAAACGCAUCAAUCGUGUGUGUAGCCGUGAUGGUCUCUUCUUGGCGGAGUCCGGGAAGUGAACACGGUUUUGGGUUAUGAUUGACGUAAGUAGGUGUUCAGGAUCACCUCUUGAUCAUUGCUAGCUUCAUGACCGUUCCGCUUGUUUUCUCUUCUCGCUCUCUUUUGCGUAUGUUAGCCACCAUAUCAUGCUUAGUCGCUGCUGCAACCUCACCACUUUACCCCUUCCUUUCCCAUUAAGCUUUGCUAGUCUUGAUACCCAUGGUAAUGGGAUUGCUGAGUCCUCGUGGCUCACAGAUACUUCCAAAACCAGUUUGCAGGUGCCUAUGUUACCGAGCAGGUGACGCAACCAAGCUCAAGGAGGAGCUCGAUGAAGAUCUUGCCCUUUGUGUUGUUUCGUUCUAGUUGAUCAGUAGUGGAGCCCAGUUGGGGUCGAUCGGGG